Long non-coding RNA from Mirounga angustirostris (Northern elephant seal), 6287 nucleotides. RefSeq lists it as uncharacterized. The transcript has 2 exons. Lineage: Eukaryota; Metazoa; Chordata; Mammalia; Carnivora; Phocidae. The record is from RefSeq and is a predicted model, not a curated record.
AGGCCAGUGUGACCCGCGAGAACAAUACCAGAGUCAUAAGGCCAGGAAAGCUUUUUUUUAAUAUUUUAUUUAUUUGACAGAGAGACACAGCGAGAGAAGGAAUACAAGCAGGGGGAGUGGGAGAGGGAGAAGCAGGCUUCCCGCGGAGCAGGGGGCCCGAUGUGGGGCUCGAUCCCAGGCCUCCAGGAUAAUGACCUUAGCCGAAGGCAGACGCUUAAGGACUGAGCCACUCAGGCGCCCCGCCCAGGAAAGCUUAUUAAAAUGCGAGUUCUCAGGCCGCCUGGGUGGCUCAGUCGGUUCAGCCUCUGCCUUGGGCUGGGGUCGUGGUCCCGACGUCCCGGGAUUGAGUCCCGAGAGGGGCUCCCUGCUCGGUAGGGAGUCUGCUUCUCCCUCUCUCUCUGCCCGUCCCUUUUGUUCUCUCUCAAAUAAAUAAAAUGCCAAUUCUCGGGGGGUGGGGGGGGGCUGCUUGGCUCGGGUCAUAAUCCCAGGGUCCUGGGUUGGAGCCCCGUGGGGCUACCCUGGUCAGUGAGAGUCUGCUUCUCCCUCUCCUUCUGCCCUUCCCGCCCAAGGCCCACCCCUCCCCACCCCCGCUUGUGCUCGUGCUUUCCCGCUCUUAUAAAUGAAAUCUUAAAAAAAAAAAAUGUGAAUUCUCCAGCUCAUGCGAGAUGCGGUGCGUCAGGGUUAUCGGGGAGGGGCCCCCAAAUCUGAAGUUUUACCAGGGCCUCCCAAGAAAUUCUUCCUGCACUGAGAGGCUGGAGAAUCGGUGACCCAGGAAUAAAAGAGUUAAAGGAGGCCCCCAGCACUCGGGUUACUCUGGGGCGGAUGGAAGAGAAGCCCUUGCUGGGAUCAGGAACCGGGGACGUCCCACCCAAGCCCCUGGGCUCUGGAAGCGCUGAAGACCGGAAACGGGAACGCUUCCAAGGCUGCAGGAGGCCCCUAGGAGGCCAAGGAAGCGGCGGUCCCUCCCACGUCAGCAUGCUCUCGGGCCCAGACGGCGGGGCGCGUGCGUCGGAGCCUGCCGGGAAAUGUAGUCCUCAGGGCGGCCGCGCGCCUGCGUCCUGCGCAGCUGCCCCGGGGAGCCUGGGAAAGCCGUGGGCGCCGAGGCGGAAGUGAGUCCAUGGUUUUCAUCAGCUUCUCAUAACUACCAACAAAAUUAGGAUCUGCUGCUUUAUGGCUUUGGCAGAAAGCAAGCAAGUUAAGGGAGCUGAGUAUGGCCUCUGGUAACCACUGCUGUUCCUUCUUUCUCAUUUUGUCUUGUCCUCAGCAGUGGGUGGCUCCUCAUGAUGACCGCCUAAUGCUGUUUACUUCUUCAUAGCAGGCUAGGACCGUUAACCCAAAGCCCACUGAUGUCAAACUGAAACUCUCAUACAUUCAGUUGUUUUAAAUAGUCCCAAAAACAAAUUUUCAAAGCCAUUUGGAGCCUACCUAUCUACAUACUCCAUAAAACCUCACCCAUCAUCUGCAAACCGCAGGUAAGUCAAAUACUGGGGUACAUAAACGACCCCAGACUGCUGCUACCCUUUGGAACUGUCUGACCUGGGGGCUCCCCACCAAGCUGCUCAGUGUCAUUACCUAAACACAAACAUUUCCUCUCUCAUUCCCCCUUCUUCCCUGCCAAUAUCCUUGCCCUAUUCCCCAUCUGGGGGCUGGCGCCCAUGCCUCUGUCUCUGGAAGGUCUCUUGCGGGGAGGGAGUUCCCCUCUCAGACAACCCUGACCUUGUGCUGCCCAAACAAAGCUUGUUACUGCCUCUCAUGGUCCUGUGUCUUCCUCGAUCACCACCCCUCCAGUCCCUGAACUCACCACGAAUCCUUUUAAGAGAGAGACAGGAGGAGCAGAGUUAGUAGUGGGAGAUAUUACUAUGGAAGCCAGUAGGUGGUGUGAUGCCAGGAAGGGGUCAUGAAGCCAAGAAUGUAGGCAGCCUCCAGAAACUGAAAGAGGCAAGGAAAUGGAUUCUUGCCUGAAGCCUCCAGAAGGAAUGUCACCCUCUAACAACUUGAGUUUAGAUUUCUCACCUCCAGAAGGCUAAGAGGGGAAAAAAAAGUUAUUAUUUUAAGCCACUAAGUUUGUGAUAAUUUGUUACAGCAGCAAUAGGAAACUAACAUAACUUGUAUAUGUCUACCUGUAAAUAUUUCUACAUCUAUCCAUCUGUGUCUGCUAAGAUAAAUAUGACUUCUUACCCGCAUCUCCAGCUCUGAUCCAUUACCACGUGGGUCAUUCUAGCCUUCCCUUCUUGCUUAACUAUAACUGCACUCACCAACAGUGGCUCCCACCAUCCGGCAUCCAUAAACUGAAUUUGUUCAACCAGUACACAUGUAAGGCAGUUUCAGAAAUGUUCAGCCAGGGGCACCUGUGUGGCUCAGUCGUUAAGCGUCUGCCUUCGGCUCAGAUCAUGAUCUCAGGGUCCUGGGAUCGAGCCCCGCAUCGGGCUCCCUGCUCGGCCAGGAGCCUGCUUCUCCCUCUCCCACUCCCCCUGCCUGUGUUCCUGCUCUCGCUAUCUCUGUGUGUGUGUGUCAAAUAAAAUAAAAUCAAAUCAAAAAAGAUUUUAUUUAUCCAUUCAUGAGAGACAGAGAGGUGCAUAGGCAGAGGGAGAAGCAGGCUCCCCGCGGAGCAGGGAGCCCGAUGCAGGACUCGAUCCCCAGGAUCCUGGGAUCAUGACCUGAGCCAAAGGCAGACGCUUAACCGACUGAGCCACCCAGGCGUCCCAAUAAAUAAAAUCUUUAAAAAAAAAAAAUGUUCAGCUAUACGCCCGUGAGAAUUUGCCACCCUGAGGACAGUGCUUUGUCUUUAGCUUGGCUCCCCACAUUUAUUUUUUAUUCAUCCCCCAACUUUUAAGUUUUGAAAUAUUUUAUUUUAAGAUUUUAUUUAUUUAUUUGACACACAGGGAGAGAGCCCAAGCAGAGGGAGAAGCAGGCUCCCUGCUGAGCAAGGAGCCCUAUGCGGGACUCGAUCCCAGGACCCUGAGCUGGGAUCAUGACCUGGGCCAAAGGCAGACGCUUCACCAACUGAGCCACCCAGGUGUCCCAAGUUUUGAAAUAUUUUAAAUAUAUGGAAAAUUUGCUCUCUUCUUGGCAAGCUUAGUGCUGUGGAUGCUGCUUCUCUCCCUGUUCUGCUCAUUGCCUCUGGAUUUUGGUCCCCUUCCCCUCAGGAGCUCCCCCAGUAGAUGCUUGGCAGGGUUUUAGACCUGCUUGACCCACACCCCUACCCGGUUGCCUCACCCAAGCCCUUAGCCUUCCCAGAUCUGCCUGAUUCCACUCCUGGUGGCUUUGUGGCUCCUGUCACAUCCCUCUUCAACCUCCAGUCUCUCCCAGGAGCUUGUCCCCAGGGACACACACCUGUAUAAUUGUAUGCAGUGGCACUGGAGAGAAAAGGUUCCGUGUUGAGAGACUUGGAAGGGAAGGGGAGACUAUCAGGACAGCAAACAUGAACAGAGAUUCAAGACAGGUUGGAAAUCCCAGAGCAGAAUGUCACCUGUCCCACAUUCUACCUGGAGCUCUGGGAGGGAGACGUCCUGUCAGUGCCCCACACCAACAGAAGGAGGCAAAAGGAGGUCAGAAAUGCCAGCCUGGCACUUAGCAGAGUGGCCCUGAGAUGAUGCUCAUUUGUAGCAUGAGCGAGUCCCCGCUGCAGGUCUCAGAAAGUCUCUGUAGAGAUGUUAAGAAGAGUCUUGGUCAGGGUGCCUGGGUGGCUCAGUCGUUAAGCGUCUGCCUUGGGCUCAGGUCAUGAUCCCGGGGUCCUGGGAAUCGAGCCCCGCAUCGGGCUCCCUGCUCCGCGGGAAGCCUGCUUCUCCCUCUCCCACUCCCCCUGCUUGUGUUCCCUCUCUCGCUGUGUCUCUCUCUCUGUCCAAAUAAAUAAAUAAAAUCUUUUUUUUAAGAUUUUAUUUAUUUAUUCAUAAGAGACAGAGAGAGAGAGAGAGGCAGAGGGAGAAGCAGGCUCCCUGCUGAGCAGGGAGCCCGAUGCGGGACUCGAUCCCAGGACCCUGGGAUCAUGACCUGAGCUGAAGGCAGACGCUUAACCAUCUGAGCCACCCAGGCACCCAAUAAAUAAAAACUUAAAAAAAAAAAAAAAAAAGAGUCUUGGUCGGCCAGAAGAGGCCCGGGAUAGGGAGGAAGAAGGCCCAAGUUGUGCAACUCCCCUUAUUGGGAGCCACACCAGCAUCUGAUGUGGCCAUGCCCACAGCCAGCCAGAAUCAGUAAUACAACGGCCAACGUUCAAACACCGAGGAGGAGGAGGGACCAAAGGGGACAGGUCGGUCCUUUUUUUCUUCGAUCAUUCCGUGUAAGCUCUCUCUGUAUCCAGAUACCUUCUUGGGGAGGAAGAGGAGUAUGAGUCGGAGGGAGUGGAGGAGAGGAAUGGGGAAGGGGAAAGAAGAGGAAGAGGAAAAGUAGGAGGAGAGACAGAGGAGUAAAGAAGCCUUCUUGGAGGGGCGCCUGGGUGGCUCAGUUGGUUAAGCAUCUGCUUUCGGCUCAGGUCAUGAUCUCAGGGUUCUGGGAUCAGAUGAGUCCGGAGUAGAGUCGGGCUCCGCUUGGCGGGGAGUCUGCUUCUCCCUCUGCCUCUGUCCCUCCCCCCGCUUGGGCACACGAGCACGCGCUCUCUCAAAUACAUAAAUAAAAUCUUUUUUUAAAAAAAAGAAGACUUCUUGGAGACUUCAGUACUGAUGGACAUUGUGCAUUACCCAUUGAAGGAGAUAGCACGGUGUAGAGUUCCCCAGACAUCCUGCUCAAGGGAUUACUUUGUUUAUAGAACACGUACUCAUAUCUCAUAACGCUAGUCCUCCCUGAAAGACUUUGGGAACUAUGGCUCUAUAAUUUAAAUUUGUGACCAGUGCAUAUGGGCCCAUGACACAGAUGGGAGGUGAUGGGGAUCCCUAACAGAUACGCAGUGAGACGCUAAAGAGACUUCCCCCUCUCAAAGCUGCUUUGAGCGCCCCUGGGGUGGUCAUGGUCUGAAGCCCUUCUUGGGUUUUGUCUCAGAGGGUCAUGCCCCAUUUAAGGAAAGUUCUUUCCAAGCUCCCAGAGUCUGUCUUACUGUAAACAGGGAUUUUACUGGAUCUUUUUUAAAGGGAACAACUCUACUAAAGUUAAUUCAGAGGGCAAGCAGCUGGGGUCCUCCAGGUCACUAGGGGUCCCCAGUCAUUUUCAUGAUGCCCCCAAAGUGCAGCCUGAAGUUCUGAUAGCUCCAAGGCAUCUUGCCAGUAGUCAAUGACUGGGGAAAGAACGAGAAACAGUGGAGCCGGGCAUUGAAAGCCUAAUCCAAACCACAGCCAAGAUCCACAGCUGGACUCCCGCCAACCUGGAGAAGGCCUUCUGUGGCCACCGGAGACCGUGUUGGCGAUGAACUAGAGUCACCCAGAGCAGCAUUUCUGAGAACCCCUGGGGCAAGAGGCGCACAUGACGAGGAUGUUGUGUUGGGUGUGAUCCUGGAUGAGCAUAGUGGGAAGGAGGAGCAGCCUGAGGGGCGGCCCAUUCCUUAACACAGAGAGGGUACUAAUGGGGAUAUUUAUAAAUACAGUUGCAGCUGCCGUGGGAGACCGGGAGGGGAGGUGCGUUGCACUCCGCAUGCUGAGGGUCCCCUCCCGCAGGACCGGAGACGUUGCAGCUGGGGCCCCCCCGACUGGGCGGCAAGAACUGAGCCGCUCACGCCCGCAGCCCAAGAUCCUUAUGAAAUCCCAGGGAGAGACCCACGUCCCAUUGCCUGGCAGCACAUAUCUAUAGGCAGAACAGACAACAAAAGUCUUGCUCUCUUCUCCCUGGGGAGAAGAUUUUAAUGUCUACAACGCAAACAUUCCUUAGACAUCUGUAAACUUCUCUCAAAAUUUUCUGGGACUGGGGCUCCUAAAACCAGAUUUCAAUUAUAAAUGCUAAUUGGUUAAACUUUUUUUUUUUUAAGAUUUUAUUUACUUAUUUGUGUGUGUGUGUGUGUGUGUGAGAAGGAGAGAGAGAGGGAGAGAGCACAAGCAGGGGGAGCGGCAGGCAGAGGGAGAAGCAGGCUCCCCGCUGAGCACGGAGCCCCAUGUGGGGCUCAAUCCCAGGACCCUGAGAUCAUGACCUGAGCUGAAGGCAGACGCUUAACCUACUGAGCCACCCAGGCGUCCCUAAUUGGUUAAACAUUUAAUACGUGAUCAGGGCACCUGGGUGGGUCAGUCACUUAAGUGUCCGACUCUUGAUUUUGGCUCUGGUCAUGAUCUCCGGGUCGUGGGACUGAGCCCUGAGUCCUGCUCUGCGCUCAGCGGGGAGCCUGCUUGGGGUUCUCUCUCUCUCUGAAAUAAAUGAAUCUUUAAAAAAAAAAA